Molecule: non-coding RNA, 26 nt
Filed under: Mus musculus (house mouse)
Lineage: Eukaryota; Metazoa; Chordata; Mammalia; Rodentia; Muridae
Source: RNAcentral
UAAAGCAAAUGAGAGGGACUGCUGUA